This 270-nucleotide ribosomal RNA is filed under the name uncultured archaeon. RNAcentral's name for it is "partial 16S ribosomal RNA". It matches the Rfam family "Archaeal small subunit ribosomal RNA", at positions 477 to 747 of the family's 1478-position model. The record is from RNAcentral.
CUGCAGCUCAAGUGGUAGCCGCUAUUAUUGGGCCUAAAACGUUCGUAGCCGGUUUAGUAAAUGCUUGGGUAAAUUGUGUCGCUUAACGAUACGAAUACCGGGUAGACUGCUAAACUUGGGACCGGGAGAGGCUAGAGGUACUCCUGGGGUAGAGGUGAAAUUCUGUAAUCCUGGGGGGACCACCAGUGGCGAAGGCGUCUAGCUAGAACGGGUCUGACGGUGAGGGACGAAGCCCUGGGGCGCAAACCGGAUUAGAUACCCGCGUAGUCC